This 339-nucleotide ribosomal RNA is filed under the name uncultured Pseudomonadota bacterium. RNAcentral's name for it is "bacterial SSU rRNA". It matches the Rfam family "Bacterial small subunit ribosomal RNA", at positions 29 to 351 of the family's 1533-position model. The record is from RNAcentral. Lineage: Bacteria; Pseudomonadati; Pseudomonadota.
AAUUAACGCUGGCGGCAUGCCUAACACAUGCAAGUCGCACGAGAAAGCCCGGUUCGCCGGGCGAGUAAAGUGGCGCACGGGUGAGUAACGCGUAGGUAACCUGCCCCUGUGUUCGGGAUAACAGUGCGAAAGCGCUGCUAAUACCGGAUAUGUCCAAGGGACGGUGGUUUUUUGGACAAAGUCGGCCUCUCGCAGAAGCCGAUGCACGGGGGAUGGGCCUGCGUCCUAUCAGCUAGUUGGUAGGGUAACGGCCUACCAAGGCUUCGACGGGUAGCUGGUCUGAGAGGAUGAUCAGCCACACUGGCACUGAAACACGGGCCAGACUCCUACGGGUGGCAG